GAUGAACGCUGGCGGCGUGCCUAACACAUGCAAGUCGAGCGGCAGCGAGGGGUGCUUGCACCCUGUCGGCGAGCGGCGGACGGCUGAGUAACGCGUGGGAACGUGCCCCAAAGUGAGGAAUAACUGCCCGAAAGGGUAGCUAAUACCGCAUAUUAUCUUCGGAUCAAAGGAUUUAUCCGCUUUGGGAGCGGCUCGCGUCGGAUUAGGUAGUUGGUGAGGUAAUGGCUCACCAAGCCGACGAUCCGUAGCUGGUCUGAGAGGAUGACCAGCCAGACUGGAACUGAGACACGGUCCAGACUCCUACGGGAGGAAGCAGUGAGGAAUCUUCCACAAUGGGCGAAAGCCUGAUGGAGCAACGCCGCGUGCAGGAAGAAGGCCUUCGGGUUGUAAACUGCUUUUAUAAGUGAGGAAUAUGACGGUAACUUAUGAAUAAGGAUCGGCUAACUACGUG
Molecule: ribosomal RNA, 451 nt
Filed under: uncultured bacterium
Lineage: Bacteria
Description: partial 16S ribosomal RNA
Rfam family: Bacterial small subunit ribosomal RNA
Source: RNAcentral